Molecule: ribosomal RNA, 253 nt
Filed under: uncultured bacterium
Lineage: Bacteria
Description: partial 16S ribosomal RNA
Rfam family: Bacterial small subunit ribosomal RNA
Source: RNAcentral
UACAGAGGUGGCAAGCGUUGUUCGGAAUUACUGGGCGUAAAGGGCGCGUAGGCGGUUCGUCAAGUCCUGUGUGAAAUCCCCCGGCUCAACUGGGGAGCUGCACAGGAAACUAGCGGGCUUGAGUUCGGGAGAGGGAAGCGGAAUUCCGGGUGUAGCGGUGAAAUGCGUAGAUAUCCGGAGGAACACCGGUGGCGAAGGCGGCUUCCUGGACCGACACUGACGCUGAGGCGCGAAAGCUAGGGUAGCGAACGGG